This 254-nucleotide ribosomal RNA is filed under the name uncultured bacterium. Its description in RNAcentral is "partial 16S ribosomal RNA". It matches the Rfam family "Bacterial small subunit ribosomal RNA", at positions 524 to 776 of the family's 1533-position model. The record is from RNAcentral.
UACGUAGGUGGCAAGCGUUGUCCGGAUUUAUUGGGUUUAAAAGGGUGCGUAGGCGGCCUUGUAAGUCAGUGGUGAAAUACUCCAGCUUAACUGGAGGGGUGCCAAUGAUACUGCAGGGCUUGAGUACAGAUGAGGUAGGCGGAAUUGACGGUGUAGCGGUGAAAUGCAUAGAUAUCGUCAAGAACACCGAUAGCGAAGGCAGCUUACUGGGCUGUAACUGACGCUGAGGCACGAAAGUGUGGGGAUCAAACAGG